Molecule: ribosomal RNA, 476 nt
Filed under: uncultured bacterium
Lineage: Bacteria
Description: bacterial SSU rRNA
Rfam family: Bacterial small subunit ribosomal RNA
Source: RNAcentral
AGCGGCAGGCUUAACACAUGCAAGGUCGAGGGGCAGCACGGGUAGCAAUACCUGGUGGCGACCGGCGCAAGGGUGCGUAACGCGUGAGCAACAUGCCCUAUACAGGGGGAUAAUCCAGGGAAACUUGGUCUAAUAUCCCCAUAGUAUUUAGAGGAGGCAUCUUCUAUAAAUUAAAGCUUCGGUGGUAUAGGAUUGGCUCGCGUGACAUUAGCUAGAUGGUGAGGUAACGGCUCACCAUGGCAAUGAUGUCUAGGGGUUCUGAGAGGAAGGCCCCCCACACUGGGACUGAGACACGGCCCAGACUCCUACGGGAGGCAGCAGUGAGGAAUAUUGGACAAUGGAUGGAAAUCUGAUCCAGCCAUGCCGCGUGCAGGAAGACAGCCCUAUGGGUUGUAAACUGCUUUUAUAUGGGAGCAAUAAGGUCUACGUGUAGACUGAUGAGAGUACCAUAUGAAUAAGCAUCGGCUAACUCCGUG